UUUCUGCAACUAUAAAUAGGUAUCUCUACCUUCAUUGUAAGACACACUAACAGAAAGAGUGAAAAAGAGUAAGGUUUCACAGAUAGGGUAUAAGAAAAUAGUUUGUGAAGAAAAUAGAGAGUGAGCGAUAUUGUAGUAAGGUGGGAAUAUCAAAAUAGGGUUAUUUUUUUUUGAGUGUUGUAGUGGUCUUUGGAGUAUUUUACUCGGAACUACAAAGUGUAAAAUUCCUUACUAUAGUGAUAUCAGUUGCUCAUCUCAGGGCCGUGGUUUUUUCCCUUAUUCAGAAAGGUUUUCCA
Molecule: long non-coding RNA, 296 nt
Filed under: Nicotiana benthamiana
Lineage: Eukaryota; Viridiplantae; Streptophyta; Magnoliopsida; Solanales; Solanaceae
Description: long non-coding RNA (NBEN_LNC028047)
Source: RNAcentral